CUGAAUAACCGAUAGUGAACCAGUACCGUGAGGGAAAGGUGAAAAGAACCCCGGGAGGGGAGUGAAAUAGAACAUGAAAUCGUAAGUUUACAAGCAGUAGAAGAGCGACUUAACGCUCGACUUCGUGCCUGUUGAAGAAUGAGCUGGCGACUUGUAGGUUGUGGCAAGGUUAAGAUAAGAGAAUAUCGGAGCCAUAGUGAAAGCGAGCCUGAUAAGGGCUUUAAGUCAUAAUUUACAGACCCGAACCCGGAUGAUCUAACCAUGGCCAGUGUGAAGCUUAGGUAACACUAAGUGGAGGUACCAACCGACUGUUGUUGAAAAAACAGCGGAUGAGUUGUGGUUAGGGGUGAAAUUCCAAUCGAAUCCGGAGCUAGCUGGAUCUCCCCGAAAUGCGUUGAGGCGCAGCGGUUAAUGUUUCUUCUUAGGGGUAAAGCUACUGUUUUGGUGCGGGCUGCGAGAGCGGUACCAAAUCAAGGCAAACUCUGAAUACUAAGACGUUUAGUUAACCAGUGAGACAUUGGGGGAUAAGCUUCAGUGUCAAGAGGGAAACAGCCCAGAUUACUAGCUAAGGCCCCUAAAUAAUUACUAAGUGGUAAAGGAGGUGGGAUUGCAGAGACAAUCAGGAGGUUUGCCCAGAAGCAGCAAUCCUUUAAAGAGUGCGUAAUAGCUCACUGUUCGAGUGAUCCUGCGCCGAAAAUGACUGGGACUAAGUAAUUUGCCGAAGCUGUAAGAUGUCAAAACAUCGGUAGGGGAGCGUUCUACAUUAGUUUGAAGCGUUAACGAAAGUGGGCGUGGACGAAGUAGAAGUGAGAAUGUUAGCUUGAGUAGCGAAAACAUUGGUGAGAAUCCAAUGCCCCGAAAACCUAAGGGUUCCUCCGGAAGGCUCGUCCGCGGAGGGUGAGUCAGGUCCUAAGGUAAGGCUGAAAAGCGUAGUCGAUGGAUAACAGGUUAAUAUUCCUGUACUGUUUAUUGUUGGUAAUGGGGGACGGAGAAGGCUAGGUUAGCCAAAUUUUGGUUAUUGGUUUAAGUAUUCAAGGUGUUGAGGAUCGGCGAAAACGAUCUGAGCUGAGAUGCGAAUAGGAAAGUGCUAAGGCACUAAACCAACUGAUGUCAUACUUCCAAGAAAAGCCCUAACUACCAUAAGCAAUAAAUACCUGUACCCUAAACCGACACAGGUGGGUAAGUAGAGUAUACUAAGGGGCGCGAGAUAACUCUCUCUAAGGAACUCGGCAAAAUAGCCUCGUAACUUCGGGAGAAGAGGUACCCUUAAUGGGUUGCAAGAACCAGACGCUGGCGACUGUUUAUCAAAAACACAGGUCUCCGCAAAGUCGUAAGACGAUAUAUGGGGGCUGACACCUGCCCAGUGCCGGAAGGUUAAGGAAGCUUGUUAGUCUUUGACGAAGCUCGCGACCGAAGCCCCGGUGAACGGCGGCCGUAACUAUAACGGUCCUAAGGUAGCGAAAUUCCUUGUCGGG
This 1475-nucleotide ribosomal RNA is filed under the name marine metagenome. RNAcentral describes it as "bacterial LSU rRNA". It matches the Rfam family "Bacterial large subunit ribosomal RNA", at positions 476 to 1976 of the family's 2925-position model. The record is from RNAcentral.